AGAGUUUGAUCCUGGCUCAGGAUGAAUGCUGGCGGCGUGCCUAAUACAUGCAAGUCGAGCGGUAAGGCCCUUCGGGGUACACGAGCGGCGGACGGCUGAGUAACGCGUGGGAACAUGCCCCAAAGUGAGGGAUAACGCACCGAAAGGUGUGCUAAUACCGCAUAUGGUCUUCGGAUUAAAGGAUUUAUCCGCUUUGGGAGUGGCCCGCGUACGAUUAGAUUGUUGGUGAGGUAACGGCUCACCAAGUCGACGAUCGUUAACUGGUCUGAGAGAAUGAUCAGUCAGACUGGAACUGAGACACGGUCCAGACUCCUACGGGAGGCAGCAGUAAGGAAUCUUCCACAAUGGGCGAAAGCCUGAUGGAGCAACGCCGCGUGCAGGAUGAAGGCCCUCGGGUCGUAAACUGCUUUAUGAGUGAAGAAUAUGACGGUAACUCAUGAAUAAGCACCGGCUAACUACGUG
Molecule: ribosomal RNA, 462 nt
Filed under: uncultured bacterium
Lineage: Bacteria
Description: bacterial SSU rRNA
Rfam family: Bacterial small subunit ribosomal RNA
Source: RNAcentral